CGCACGGGUGAGUAACACGUAUGCAACCUGCCUGCCACAGCCGGAUAAUCGGGAGAAAUCCGGUCUAAUACCGCAUGACGCGGGAAAGGCGCAUGCCUUUUCCGCCAAAGGAGGCGACUCCGGUGCCGGCUGGGCACGCGUGACAUUAGCUAGUUGGCGGGGCGACGGCCCACCAAGGCGACGAUGUCUAGGGGUUCUGAGAGGAAGGUCCCCCACACUGGUACUGAGACACGGACCAGACUCCUACGGGAGGCAGCAG
Molecule: ribosomal RNA, 259 nt
Filed under: uncultured bacterium
Lineage: Bacteria
Description: partial 16S ribosomal RNA
Rfam family: Bacterial small subunit ribosomal RNA
Source: RNAcentral